RNAcentral lists this ribosomal RNA (788 nucleotides) under Bradybaena lavrushini. RNAcentral describes it as "partial large subunit ribosomal RNA". The stretch from base 356 to 507 matches the Rfam family "Archaeal large subunit ribosomal RNA", at positions 1886 to 2087 of the family's 2987-position model. Lineage: Eukaryota; Metazoa; Mollusca; Gastropoda; Stylommatophora; Camaenidae. The record is from RNAcentral.
CGAAUUAGUUCGAGCUAAUUAUACCUAGUGUUUAGGCUCGUUGAGGAGCGUGUAGCAAAACGUUAGAAAGAGGUAUAAUUAGGAGUGAUAGGCCUCCCAAGAAUUAAGAUAUCUUGAUGGCCCUGAAAUGUAUUUAGUACAUACUUACAAAUAUAGAGUGUUUAGGCUCUAUAUUAUCUUCAAACUUAUUGAAUGUGUGUAAGGGUUUAAUAGCCUCUUACUUAUAAACACUAAUAUAUGUCUAAGAGUAAUUAAGAAUAUAGUAGGGGCUUUUAACGGCAAAUCUAACCCAAUAGUAAUAAUGUUGUCAUAAGUAUUUACUAAAGGCGUCCGGAACGAACUCGGCCAAUAUAGCUCUCGACUGUUUACCAAAAACAUAGCUGUACGAAUGUAUGUGUAGUUAUUUCUGCUCAAUGUAACAUAAAUAGCCGCAGUACCCUGACUGUGCAAAGGUAGCAUAAUCAGUUGGCUUAUAAUUGAAGUCUAGUAUGAAAGAAAACACGGGGGUUAGCUAUCUAAGGGAUGGUGUAAAAAAUUACUUAAUAGGUGAAAAUUCCUAUAUAAAAAUAAUAGACGAGAAGACCCUAGAAAUUUUCAGGAAUUCAUUGUGUGGAUGAGAGGUUUUUGUUGGGGCGACGCAGUAGCAUAAAACCUGCUGAGAAAAAUUUGAUUUUUUUAUUAUGUUUAAUUAAAUUACUUUAGGGAUAACAGCAUAAUAUUUAAAAGUUUGUGACCUCGAUGUUGGACUAGGAUAGCAUAACCCAGAAGGUUAUUGCACGAGCUCUGUU